UCUCUGUUAGGUUGGUUGGGUAAGGACCCAGCCCUACAAUAGUUCAGAAGAGAGAAAAAUCCUUCCUAACUGAGGAAUCCAAGAAGGCAUCAUGGAGAAGAUUGUGAAGAGACCAACAUGAAUUAAUUAGUGUUAACUACCACACGCUUCACUAAUAGUCUGCCAACACAAAGGUUUCCUUCCAUGCCAAGAUGAGAGACAUGUUCAGGAUGAUGAGAGAGACCUGCCACAACACCUGAAAAUGAGGGACUUUUGAAGGGUAAACCAACAGCUCACAAGCUCCCUGGAUUGAAAUGCUAUUUCAGGAGAAGAAAUCUCUGAGGAUAAAAUACAUGAGAUUCUUCUGCACAGUAAAAAGAAUAUCUUUGCCUUCUUCAUAGAUGUUAAGGCAUUCACACCACCUACAGGCUUAGGCUAUUUGGAUUCUUCAGACCAUAAACCAAAGGAUAAUGUUUGAGUGAACCUGGUGAAGAAAGAACAGUUCAAUGCAUUUUGAAUAAAUGUUCAGCUACACCUUCAUACUAUUGAAUUAUUAACCGUUGGUAAUAAAAAGCAAACAAAAAAAAAAGUCCAAAGCAGAUCUCCAGGUUGGGCUGUUGUCCUUCUGGUAGACUGGAAGAUUCCUGUAGGCAGGACUCUUGACUUAUUUAAACUAUUUUUAAAAAUUUCUUCCAGGGCCCUACUCAGUGCUCUGAACAGAGA
Long non-coding RNA from Dromiciops gliroides (monito del monte), 702 nucleotides. RefSeq lists it as uncharacterized. Lineage: Eukaryota; Metazoa; Chordata; Mammalia; Microbiotheria; Microbiotheriidae. The transcript is spliced from 3 exons. The record is from RefSeq and is a predicted model, not a curated record.